CUCACGUCUGGCUCAGGUCUCACUUCCACAACCUAGGGGGCGUUCAACACAGGGCAGACACGUCACAUCUGCUCGUUGAAUAAAAAACGAGUGGCAAAAGUGAAAAAGAAACGAGAAACCUCUCCCCCCCUGGCGGAAGCAGCUAAGACAAACUUGCAGCGCUGGAGGCAGAAUCGUUCCCGGAUUCAGACUUCCCACACCUCUCCGAGCCCGCAGCCCACCCUGUGCAAACAUUUCCUGUAAGCUAGUCGCGUGUGGCUCCUCAGAGUCCCUACUUCAGUUUUUCACAGGCGCUCGUGGGGUUCCAGGCGGCCUCUCACAGAAGAGCUGAGCUCAAGACUGCAAGUCAGCCCUCCCGCCCAGCCGGCUCGCCGCUGUCUGUACAGGCCAAGGUUCGCCCCGCCCCCGUCGUCUCGGCAACGGUGAGCGACAGGUGCGCGCAGGCGCCGUUGGUGCGCGGGGCACGGCGGCCUCUGGGCGCGCGCUUCGGCGCGGCGUGGCACGCGGGGCUUCGCUGCUUGGCGCCGCUGUGAUCACCUCAGUGCCCUCGGACCUCCGGGCGCCCGUUCCGGUCGGCAACUGAUCUCCCCUGCGGCCGGGGUCGGGAGACGAGGCCACACGCUGCCGCGCGGUGGGACACAGGCGGCCAUGGAAUUCUCCACCCUCUGCCCACUCUUCAGGGACCCUUCCCUGCUGUCCCUGUCCAUCCUGUGCUGUCGUGUUGCCAUGUACUCCUCGGCUCCUCCUUCCCAGCACAGUUGCCAGGUAAAGGGAAGAAAGGCAAAGGCACAGGAAGGCCACAUGGGAAGAAGCAGAAGAAGCCCGAGGUGGACAUCCUGAGCCCGGCUGCCAUGCUUAACCUGUACUACAUCGCGCACAACGCAGCCGAGUGCCUGCACCUGCGAGGUUUCCGCUGGCCCGGUGCGCCCAAGGGGAAAAAGGGCAGGAACAAGACCUAGGAGGAGCGAGUUGAAGAUAACAGGAUGAUGACUGCAAGCAAAAUAGACUUUGCUGAAGAAAUUUUGAAAUGCAAGCUCAGUGUGCUUUUCAGUGGUAAAUUAGGAUUUAAAAAUGCCUUUUACUUCUUCAGUUAACUCACGUAUAACUAAGGAGAGUUUUUUUAAGGGUUAAGGGAAGUGAGUUUUGAGUAAUCCCUACACUGUGUGGUGGAAUUCAUAGGACUUUUUAAAACUAUCAUCAUAAUUCUGUGUCAGAAUUAAACGUUGCUCUGGCAAGGCAGUUCCAGUUUGCGCGAGUUGUUUUCUUUUGCAGAAGGGGUUUGUUAUUGGAGAAGGCACAGCACAUGCUUGGGCUUACCUUAAACAGCCCUCUCUUGGGUGCUGUUUUUUUGUUUUUGCUUUUCAAACCUUG
This 1371-nucleotide long non-coding RNA is filed under the name Cavia porcellus (domestic guinea pig). Its description in RNAcentral is "lncRNA (ENSCPOG00000039030.1)". Lineage: Eukaryota; Metazoa; Chordata; Mammalia; Rodentia; Caviidae. The record is from RNAcentral.